ACUUCAUGUUUUGGACAUUGCAUUAGUUUUCCAUUAAAUCUUUCCCACACUUCAUACAAUGUCACCCCACUCAAUUGCUUAAAAUUGAUGAUCUCAUCCCUCAAUU
Molecule: non-coding RNA, 106 nt
Organism: Capsicum annuum
Lineage: Eukaryota; Viridiplantae; Streptophyta; Magnoliopsida; Solanales; Solanaceae
Source: Rfam